UACGGAGGGAGCUAGCGUUGUUCGGAAUUACUGGGCGUAAAGCGCACGUAGGCGGCUUUGUAAGUUAGAGGUGAAAGCCCGGAGCUCAACUCCGGAAUAGCCUUUAAGACUGCAUCGCUAGAACGUUGGAGAGGUAAGUGGAAUUCCGAGUGUAGAGGUGAAAUUCGUAGAUAUUCGGAAGAACACCAGUGGCGAAGGCGACUUACUGGACAACUGUUGACGCUGAGGUGCGAAAGCGUGGGGAGUAAACAGG
This 253-nucleotide ribosomal RNA is filed under the name uncultured bacterium. Its description in RNAcentral is "partial 16S ribosomal RNA". It matches the Rfam family "Bacterial small subunit ribosomal RNA", at positions 524 to 776 of the family's 1533-position model. The record is from RNAcentral.